ACCCUCCUCGCCGGCCGCGCCCAUGGCGACCCCGUCGUACGCGGCCGUGAAGUGCCUGAACACGUCCUCUUCCAGCCGCAAGCGCUUCGUGUUCAAGAGCUUCACAAAGCGGGUGGAGGAAUUAGACAUCAAUGUUUACCGUAGCAUCGAUGAGGUCAAGGCGGAGCCCUCGAGCGGUUCCUCGUUUUUCCUCGAUGCUCUGGUGGAGUGGAGGGAGCUGAAUACUGCAGAAGACUUCAUCUCGUUUUACGAUGAGAUGAUACCAUUGGUGCAGACAUUGCCACAAAUCGUAUUGCACCGUGAGAAAAUAUUUUCUGGGCUGCUACAACGAGUAAAUAUGGCGGCACGAUUGUCCCUCGAGCCAAUAUUCAUGUUAAUUGCAGAAUUCGCCAGGGAUAUUCUAGAGGAAUUUUUGCCGUUUCUAGCAAGACACGCUAGUGCUAUUUUGGCUCUCCUUAGUGAUGGGGGUGAUCGUGACCCUGAAAUCCUGGAGCAGGUCUUCACAUCUUGGUCACGCAUAAUGAUGUACUUGCAGAAGUAUCUAGUAAAAGAUGUUGUUCAGAUUCUCAGGAUCACAUCUCCGCUGAGAUUUUUCCCAAAGGAUUAUGUGAGAGAAUUUAUGGCUGAAUCUGUUUCAUUUUUGCUGAGGAAUGCACGUAACGAUCAACUAACAGAAGGUUUAAGGAAAGCUCUGUUUGAGGCUGCUAAAAAAUCGUCACCUAUACGGAUAGACGGGGUGACUGCGUUGUUGUGGCACGUAAUGAGAGGAACUUACACAAAGCUUCACUCAAGAGCUGGAAAUGUCAUGGAGUUCUUGUUGAGCAAGUCAAUAUGUACCACUAUCGACAAUAAAUUCCCAGAUGGGUCUUCUACUACUCGUGAGGUCAUAACUGGUGUUAUCCAUAGAUUAUGCAACGAAGUGGAUCAGAAAGAGUUGGCGUUGAUAUAUACUUGCUUGUUUAAAGAAAUCAAAAGCUGCAUUAAGGAUGACUGUUUGGGGCACUUGAAACACAUGAUUGAUUUUCUUACAUUUGCUCUAGAAAACAGCAAGCAGAGUGAUAUGCUUGACAAGGCUGAUGUUCUUGAACUUGUUAAGUUGCUGAUUCAUAAGUAUGUUAGGCCUGGUAUCAGGACAGGAGAAGCUUCUUCAUCUGAGUUUCUUGGGAGUAUCUUGGACUUUCUUCUUUGUGUUUUGGAUGUUCCAGUUAUUUCUUGCAAUUUAUCCAUCAUAUACGCCCCUGUAUUUGAACUAACCAAUUUGAGUGCGGUUGCCUUUAUGAAAAAGCUUUGCAUGAAAGGGCCACAAAUUAUAAAAGCUUUUGAGAGUCAGAUACUGAGUGCAAUGGAUAAUAUUCUUGAGACUUCACCCGAGGAAGUUCUCUUUAUCCUUCUGCAUUUAUUUAAGAAAGCAACAGAUGGAGUAACUCAUGACAUUGAUGGUAGUCAUCUUGAUCGGGAGAAGAAAGUGUACAAGUUCUGUGAUUCAAAUGUCCGUUUAUGGAUAGAGUUUGUAGAUGAUAUAGUCAAGACAGGCAAUCAUUCGAGUAAUCUGGUCAGUGCAAAGGAAGCUGCUAUACUAUGGGGAUCUGUUCGCUGCUACUCAAAUGUUAAAGACGCCCCUCAAGAUAGUUUAGCAAUGCUGAAUAAGUUUAUUCGCAGCCUUGAUCUGUUACUUGAGGUGGAAGAAGAUAGCAUUAGUGGUCUUCCGAAGAAUACCUGGAGAAGUCUACUCGGUGCAGCAUUAUUAUCGUACCAUGAACUACUGCUGGUUAACGUCGGUAAAAAAUCAGAAUUAAGUUUCUUCCUAUCUCUUGCCAAGAGGCACAGCACAUGUCCGCAAGUACUCUCUGCUGUAGCUGAAUAUUUGGAUUCCCUACAUGGAGCAACUUCCCUGGGGAUGAUGGAAGAAUUCGAUCCACAGAAUCUCUUGAAUUCAUUCUGUAUCUUUGGUGCUAGCUUGAGCAGUCCAAAUAAGAAUGUCCGGGUUUUGACAUUGAGGAUUUUAUCUUAUUAUGCAAAGAUGGAUCAACGCCUAGGCUCAGAUGAUGAGCGGCCACAUAAGAGGCGGAAAGCAGAAGAUUCUGCAGAGGAAACUCUUGAACUUAAAUACACUAAUGUUGUCGAUACUCUUCUCGUUGUUGAAUCAACUCCAGUUUCAGUAUCUACUAGCCGCAAAAUUGCUAUCUUUGUUUCUCGGAUACAAAUGAGUCUAUCUUCUAAUACGGUUCAUGAUGAUUACAUACCUCUUCUCUUGCAUGGGAUUAUUGGCAUCUUAUACAAUCGAUUUAGUGAUCUGUGGCCACCAGCACUGGAUUGUCUUGCUGUCCUUGUUAGCAAACACAAGGAUCUUGUCUGGAGUCAGUUUAUUCAGUUUAUUGCAGUUUAUCAGUCAAAGGGUCUAACCGUGAGAAACCAAGAGAAGCUGCUAGCUGUGUCCCACCCAGAAUCUAUUAUUGACUGCUUCAGCUUAUAUCUUGCUACGGAUUUUGAUUAUACACCCCUUGAGACGAUUGCUACACUAUUGCUUCAAGCCCUCCAAAAGAUACCUGAUGUUGCUGAGUCUUGCUCUCGACAUGUUGUAACAUUAUUUCUAAACUUCAUGGGCUAUACCGAUGGCAGCAUCACUAGUGUUGAUUCAUAUAUGUCUGACAAGUGUAAAGGCAAACAAUGGAAAAUGAUUCUAAAAGAAUGGCUGAACUUGUUGCGAGCAAUGCGCAAUGCUCGAUCACUGUCCCAGAGCAAGAUUAUUCAGGAAAUAUUAACUGAAAGGGUCCUUGAUGAGAGUGAUCCUGAUAUACAAGCAAAAGCAUUGGAUUGCAUUCUGAACUGCAAGGAUGAAUUCCUAAUCCCAUACAGUCAAAACCUUAAGAAUCUGAUCGGCUUGAAAACUCUCCGUGAAGAACUCACCACGUGGGCAGUUUCACAUGACUCUUUGUCUAUCCAGAAAUGUCACAGAAGUCAUGUUGUUCCUUUGGUUAUUCAUGUGUUAACACCUAAAGUAAGAAAACUGAAGCUGCUUGGUUCUCGAAAGCACACGGGGGUUAGCCAUCGAAAGGCCAUUCUCCGUUUCCUUCUGCAGUUUGAUGCAAAGGAGCUUCAGCUCUUUUUCUCGUUACUACUAAAGUCCUUGAUCCCUGGGAGCCUUCAACUUGAAAUGUUCUCUUGUCAGUCUGGCGACCUACUUGAAAGUAUUUCUGAUGCCGUGGGAACUUCGUCCAUCAUCUGUCUAGAGAGUCUUACAUGGAAAAGGGCAAAUGGUUUUCUUCAUUUAGUUGAAGAGAUUUUUGGUACUUUCGGCAUGACACAUAUAGGUCCAUAUCUUAAUGCUCUAUUGAUCAUUGUUGUUCGGUUGCUGGAGAGUUGCAUGCGGAAUCUUGGAAACAGCAGCGAUGAGAAAGAUCCUUGUAAACAAUCAAAUCACCCUGAUAAUGGUUGUUCCAAUGACCAGGAAGCUGACAAUUCCAUAGAUCUGAAUGAAUGCCCAAACGAGAUGACAGUAGCCGACGAUACUGAGGCAAGUGCCUCAGUCAAGCAGUUAAAGGAUCUUAGGUCCUUAUGUAUUCGAAUCGUUUCCUUGGCACUUGGUCGGUAUGAAAGUCAUGACUUUGGAGAAUACUUCUGGAGUACUUUUUUUGCUUCUGUGAAACCUCUGAUUGACUGCUUCAGACAAGAGGCUGGCAGUAGUGAGAAACCGAGCUCUUUAUUUUCUUGCUUCAUGGUUAUGAGUCAGAGCCCAAAAUUAGCACCACUAUUAGGGACUAAUAACCUUGUACCGGCUAUAUUUUCUAUUUUGACUGUGAGGACUGCAUCAGAAUCUAUCACCUCCUAUGCACUUGAGUUUGUUGAGAAUCUAUUGAGGCUGGAUAAUGAUUUGGAGCAGCAAGAAGAUCACUCGGUGAAGAAAAUUCUUGCUCAACAUAUGGAUGUUCUUCUCAACAGUCUCCAUGAUUUUGUUAAUUAUCGCAAAGAACUUCACAGGAGAUCUGGGAGAUGGCUUGGGCAACGUGAACUUAGGUUGUUUAAACUAUUGCUAAAUUACAUCACAGAUCCUUCAGCUGCAGAGCAUGUUGUAGAUCUUGUCCUUCCGUUUUUUAGUAAGAAGGAUUUGAACUCUGAUGAGUGUCUGGAAGCUCUACAUGUUGUAAGGGGAAUAAUACAAAAUCUACGACACGGUGUGUGUGUAAAAAUUGUAAAUGCACUCAAUCCAUUGCUUGCGACUGUUGGACUCGAGCAGCGGCUAUGUAUCUGUGAUAUUUAUGAUGGGCUUUCAUUGCAUGAGUCUUCAAUGCCCUCUCUGGCUCGGUUACUGCGAGAUCUGAAUGCGGUUUCAACCUCAGAACUAGGUGAACUAGAUUAUGACAUGAGAAUCAGAGCAUAUGAUACGGUUCAGCCGCAGUUAUUUCACGGCAUGCAAGAAGAACAUAUAGGUGCCAUAUUAUCUCACUGCGUGUAUGAUAUGUCAUCCGACGAGCUAAUUUUCCGGCAAAGUGCAUCCAGGGCUCUUCAAUCAUUCCUGGGAUUCUCUGCAUCAGUUAUGAACAGUGACCCCGGUGGCUCUGUUGAAACAGCCACUGUUAAACCUGGAGACAAUUCCAGAAACAUUUGCACGAAAGGCCGUAUUCAACAAAUAUUAGAGAGAACUUACCUUCAUAAUAUGGGAACAGCGAUGUCUAAAGACAUAUCAGUUCAAAAGGAGUGGAUCAUUUUACUUCGGGAGAUGGUCUAUAAUUUUGAUCAUGUACCAUCCUUAAACUCCUUCAGGCCUCUCUGUAAAGACGAUCUGGAUGAAGAUUUUUUCCACAACAUAAUUCAUUUACAGGCUGGUAAAAGAUCCAAAGCGUUAUCUCUUUUCAGGCAGGCAAUCAAAGAUACCAACUUUUCAGAGGACGUGACUAUGAAAGUCUUUGUUCCACUGUUUUUCAAUAUGUUUUUUGAUGUCAAAGCUGGGAAGGGUGAACAUGUAAGAGAUGUAUGUUUGGAUACACUUUCUUCUGUUGCUGCCAAAGUGCAGUGGGAGCAUUACAGAACAAUAUUGAUGAGAUGCUUCCGCGAGUUGAGUCUCAAGCCUGAUAAGCAGAAAGUCAUUUUGAGGCUAAUAUGUGCUGUGUUAGAUGUGUUCCAUUUCAUGAAACCCGCAACUGAUAUCUCGAGUAAUUCUGAUGGUAUGAUUGGAGAUUCUCAUUCUUCCGUUACAUUCUCCUCAACCAUAGUCUCUUUGGAGAAGCAACAAUACCUGCGAAAGGUAGUAUUUCCACAGGUCCAUAAGUUAUUAGGAGCCGAUCCAGAGAAAGUCAAUGUAAGCAUAAACCUGGUAGCACUCAAAAUACUCAAGUUACUACCGGUGGAUUAUUUUGAGUCACAACUUUCAAGCAUCAUACAUCGAAUCUGCAACUUUCUCAAGAAUUGUCUUGAAAGCGUACGUGAUGAAGCAAGGUCAGCUUUAGCUGCAUCGCUUAAGGAACUUGGGAUUGGUUACCUGCAGUUUGUGGUCAAGAUAUUGAGGGCGAUACUGAAAAGGGGUUACGAGCUACAUGUUCUGGGCUACACCCUUCAUUUUUUAUUAUCAAAAACUGUGACUGCUGAGAUGAAUGGUAGUCUUGACUAUUGCUUACAAGAUUUGUUGUCUGUAGUUGAGAGUGAUAUACUUGGAGAUAUUGCGGAACAAAAGGAAGUUGAGAAAAUUGCCUCCAAAAUGAAAGAGACAAAGAAGAGAAUGUCAUUUGAGACUCUUAAGUUGAUUGCUCAGAGUAUUACAUUCAGGACACAUUCUUCGAAAUUAAUCUUGCCAAUUUCUGCACAUCUUCAGAAGCACCUUACUCCAAAAUUAAGAACGAAACUUGAGGCGAUGUUACACAGUAUAGCCUUGGGGGUUGAGUGCAACCCAUCAACUGAAACCUCAAACUUAUUUAUAUUUGUUUAUGGCCUUGUUGAGGAUACCAUUGAAGGGAAUGAAUCUCAGCGCAAAAAGAAUAUGGAAUCUGGUCCUGGUCAAAAAAACAUUCUCAGAAUGAAUUUCCUAGAACUUGGCGAGAGUGGGUUACAAAAUUCCUAUAUAUUUACCAGGUUUGCACUUUCUUUGCUGCGCAAUCGGUUGAAGAGCAUCAAGCUGCACAAGGAAGAUGAGCAACUAUUGUCUAUGUUAGAUCCUUUUGUCAACCUUCUGGGAAAAUGCCUGAGUUCCAAGUAUGAAAGUGUCCUUUCUGUCACUUUUAGAUGUCUUGCCAUGUUGGUGAAACUUCCUUUGCCAUCUCUCAAGGACAAUGCAAAUUCUAUCAAGAGUGUACUAAUGGAGAUUGCUCAGAGAACUGGAAAUUCUAAUGGCCAUUUGGUCACAUCUUGUUUGAAACUACUUGCUCAUUUGCUUAGAGGAUUUAGGAUUUCACUUUCAGAUGAUCAACUCCAGAUGCUUGUCCGUUUCCCUAUUUUUGUUGAUCUCCAGACAAACCCAUCACCUGUUGCCUUGUCGCUUCUGAAAGCAAUUGUCAAAAGAAAAUUGGUUUCCCCUGAGAUUUAUGAUAUUGUAGUUGGGAUAGGAGAAUUGAUGGUUACAACUCAAACAGAGUCUAUACGUCAGCAAUGUAUGCAAAUUCUAUUACAGUUUUUUCUAAAUUACCCACUCUCAGGGAAGCGCUUACAACAGCAUAUUGAUUUUUUCCUGACAAACCUGAGUUAUGAGCAUGCAUCAGGAAGAGAAGCGGUGCUCCAAAUGCUCCAUGAUAUUCUUACCAGAUUCCCUCAGAGGAUUAUUGAUGACCAGGGUCAAACUUUUUUUCUUCAUCUGGUAGUUGCCUUGGCAAAUGAACAGCACCAGAAGGUGUCUUCUUUGAUUGUCACAGCAAUCAAGAAGCUGUUAGGGCGCAUUGGUGAUCAGGGAAAGAAUUCUAUUUUUGAGUACUCUCUUUCCUGGUACACUGGUGAAAAACAGAAUUUGUGGAGCGCUUCAGCCCAGGUUAUUAGUCUACUUGUUGGGAAUCGCUCAUUAGGAAUUGGUAAACAUCUUGAAAGUAUUUUGGCUGUUGCGAAGCGAAUAAUGGAAUCUUCUUGCACCGCUUCUGGAGGAGUACAACUAGACUUAACUGGGGAAACUGAUCUGCCAUUUUGGAAAGAGGCUUACUGUUCUAUUCUAAUGAUGGAUAACUUACUUGAACACUUUCCAGAGUUGUAUUUCAAACAAAAUACAGAGGCGAUAUGGAUGACAAUUUGCAAGCUGCUGAUACAUCCCCAUUUGAAGUUACGCAUUUAUUCUAGCGCUCUGGUAUCCAAGUAUUUUGCUUCAGUAGAGCAGAGGAAAAAAGAGAAGUUGGAUGUCACAUCAUCGUUCCUUCUCCAACCAAGCAGGCUAUUCCUAAUUGCUACUGCUUUCUUGAAACAGUUGAGGAUGGAGCCAAGUGAUACUGCAGAAAAUAAGAAAAUUGUACACAAUCUUGCAUACUCAAUCUGUAACUUGCAUGUGUUGGUUAAGCAAACAACUUCAUCGCAUCAGUUUUGGUCUAGCCUUGGUUCUUGUGAUCAUGGUGCCUUCCUCGAGGGUUUUGAAUUGCUUGGUUCAAGAAAAGCAAAGAACACAUUUCUCCUCUGCACUGCCUCUUGCACUGACGUAGAUGGAUCUGGCCUUGACAGCAGUGAAGAACUUGCAUCUUUCUUUGUUUCUUCUCUCCUGAAGAAAAUGGAAAAAAUUGCAAUGCAGAUGGAGGACGCACAUAUGAAGAUCGUGUUCAGUUGUUUCAGUACGAUUUCACCAAAACUAAACACUGAAGCUGAAUUUUCAACCUAUGCUGUUCACAUGUUGGCCCCAUUGUACAAAGUUGCUGAAGGAUUUGCUGGGAAAGUCAUCAGUGAUGAAGUUAAGCAGUCAGCAGAGGUGACCAGGGACAAACUACGUGAUCUCAUUGGUGUUGAGAAAUUUGUGGAAAUUUACAACAGUGUCCGGAAGGACCUGAAAGCAAAGAGGGAGAGCAGAAAGCAGGCUGAGAAGCUUGUUGCAGCGGUCGACCCAGCGCGGCACGCCAAGAGGAAGUUGCGUAUGUCUGCCAAGCACCGAGAACACAAGAAGCGGAAGAUAACAGCGAUGAAGAUGGGAAGGUGGUUGAGGUAGUUUUUGUUGGUGCUAGAUGAAGAUCAAACAAGUUACUUCUGCCAGCGAUGAAGAUCAAGCAGAAGCAAGUUGUACAGCGUUCACUUCUGCGUGGCAAUGUGUUCUGCUGUUGGACUUCGAAAAUUUGUGCUAGAUGGCUGGCAGAAAAUUUUGUAUGCUUGAUGUAUACAUGCAUAUAUCAAUCAAGUUACGCCUAUACCAUUGCAGUUUUGUUGACGACCUGUAGAAUCCACUGAAUGAAUAUUGAUGAAACUUUCAUUACAAGUUUUACUGAACUGAAUCUGAAUGCGCAACAUGGUGAAGCUACUUCUGGGCUUUGGUUGAGGGAGGCGUGUCAGAAAUCCAAUUCGGCUAUAUGCUCCUGUUAAUCAAAAAUGCUUUUGCAUUUUUUUGAAGAAAGAGCACUAUCUUCAAAUAUUUAUGGGAGAGCUUAACAUUUUGACCUGUUACCUCAAGUAUUACAAUUUAUCUUGAUUUUCA
This 8575-nucleotide ribosomal RNA is filed under the name Triticum aestivum (bread wheat). RNAcentral's name for it is "partial small subunit ribosomal RNA". The record is from RNAcentral. Lineage: Eukaryota; Viridiplantae; Streptophyta; Magnoliopsida; Poales; Poaceae.